RNAcentral lists this ribosomal RNA (466 nucleotides) under uncultured bacterium. Its description in RNAcentral is "bacterial SSU rRNA". It matches the Rfam family "Bacterial small subunit ribosomal RNA", at positions 330 to 793 of the family's 1533-position model. The record is from RNAcentral.
CCCAGACUCCUACGGGAGGCAGCAGUGAGGAAUAUUAGUCAAUGGGCGCAAGCCUGAACCAGCCAAGUCGCGUGAGGGAUGACGGUCCUAUGGAUUGUAAACCUCUUUUGUCGGGGAGCAAGGCCCGCCACGUGUGGCGGGAAGGAGAGUACCCGAAGAAAAAGCAUCGGCUAACUCCGUGCCAGCAGCCGCGGUAAUACGGAGGAUGCGAGCGUUAUCCGGAUUUAUUGGGUUUAAAGGGUGCGCAGGCGGAGGUGCAAGUCAGUGGUCAAAUUGCGGGGCUCAACCCCGUACUGCCGUUGAAACUGCAUCCCUUGAGUGCGCGAGAAGUAUGCGGAAUGCGUGGUGUAGCGGUGAAAUGCUUAGAUAUCACGAAGAACUCCGAUUGCGAAGGCAGCUUACUAAACUGCCACUGACAUUGAUGCUCGAAAGUGUGGGUAUCAAACAGGAUUAGAUACCCUAGUAC